GAUGAAGAACGCAGCGAAAUGCGAUAAGUAGUGUGAAUUGCAGAAUUCAGUGAAUCAUCGAAUCUUUGAACGCACAUUGCGCCCUUUGGUAUUCCUUAGGGCAUGCCUGUUCGAGCGUCAUUUAAACCUUCAAGCUAAGCUUGGUGUUGGGUGACUGUCCGCUUCACUGCGGACUCGCCUCAAAAUUAUUGGCGGCCGGUACAUUGGCUUCGAGCGCAGCAGAAACGCGAACUCGGGCCCGUCGUAUUGGCUCCCAGAAGCUAUCUUCACAAUUUUGACCUCGGAUCAGGUAGGGAUACCCUCUGAACUUAAGCAUAUCAAUAAGCGGAGGA
This 332-nucleotide unclassified non-coding RNA is filed under the name soil metagenome. RNAcentral describes it as "partial contains 5.8S ribosomal RNA, internal transcribed spacer 2, and large subunit ribosomal RNA". The stretch from base 1 to 120 matches the Rfam family "5.8S ribosomal RNA", at positions 35 to 154 of the family's 154-position model. The record is from RNAcentral.